RNAcentral lists this ribosomal RNA (337 nucleotides) under uncultured eukaryote. RNAcentral describes it as "partial 18S ribosomal RNA". It matches the Rfam family "Eukaryotic small subunit ribosomal RNA", at positions 1470 to 1796 of the family's 1831-position model. The record is from RNAcentral.
CUCCUAAAUGUCCUAGGCUGCACGCGCACUACACUGACGCAUUAAACGAGUUUGAUUGCCAUUUGGCAACCUAUCUUGAAGAGGAUGGGAAAUCUUUUGAACUUGCGUCGUGAUGAGGAUCGAUGAUUGCAAUUAUUCUCCUUGAAUGAGGAAUGCCUAGUAGGCGCAAGUCAUCAGCUUGCACUGAUUACGUCCCUGCCAUUUGUACACACCGCCCGUCGUUGCUACCGAUUGGCUGUGAAAUAGAGCUUGGGGGAGGUUGUUCCUUUGUGGCGACACUCUGGACGUUCCGAAUCCAAGCAAUAUUUCUCAGCUAGAGGAAGCAAAAGUCGUAACA